RNAcentral lists this ribosomal RNA (497 nucleotides) under uncultured bacterium. Its description in RNAcentral is "partial 16S ribosomal RNA". It matches the Rfam family "Bacterial small subunit ribosomal RNA", at positions 28 to 507 of the family's 1533-position model. The record is from RNAcentral.
GAUGAACGCUGGCGGCGUGCCUAAUACAUGCAAGUCGAGCGAACGGACGAGAAGCUUGCUUCUCUGAUGUUAGCGGCGGACGGGUGAGUAACACGUGGAUAACCUACCUAUAAGACUGGGAUAACUUCGGGAAACCGUAGCUAAUACCGGAUAAUAUUUUGAACCGCAUGGUUCAAAAGUGAAAGACGGUCUUGCUGUCACUUAUAGAUGGAUCCGCGCUGCAUUAGCUAGUUGGUAAGGUAACGGCUUACCAAGGCAACGAUGCAUAGCCGACCUGAGAGGGUGAUCGGCCACACUGGAACUGAGACACGGUCCAGACUCCUACGGGAGGCAGCAGUAGGGAAUCUUGCGCAAUGGGCGAAAGCCUGACGGAGCAAUGCCGCGUGAAUGAUAAAGGUCUUCGGAUCGUAAAACUCUGUUAUUAGGGAAGAACAUAUGUGUAAGUAACUGUGCACAGCUUGACGGUACCUAAUCAGAAAGCAACGGCUAACUACGUG